This is a non-coding RNA of Vicia faba (fava bean), 219 nucleotides long. Lineage: Eukaryota; Viridiplantae; Streptophyta; Magnoliopsida; Fabales; Fabaceae. The record is from the annotation of a GenBank genome assembly.
AUGGCAACCAAUUCUUUGAAGUUUACUUUGAUGUUUAUUUUCAUCUUUGCUAUGGCUUUGUCUCCUACUUUACCAUGCGAUGCUGCACGUGAUCUUAUUAGGCCACCUAUAUGUCCUGCUUGUGUGUGUUGCAGUCCACCACCUGCAGGCUCUUGCUGCAGCUGUUGUGCUUCUGCUAUUCCACCUAAAACAGAUCAGAGCAUUGGGCAAUCUCCAUAA